Molecule: non-coding RNA, 234 nt
Organism: Pelobates cultripes (western spadefoot toad)
Lineage: Eukaryota; Metazoa; Chordata; Amphibia; Anura; Pelobatidae
Source: the annotation of a GenBank genome assembly
GACCACUCCGUUGGACCGGAAGUCCCGCCACCCAGUUUUAUUUCUGUUUUACAUACCCUGUGUCAUAAUGUGUAUGUUUUAUAGUUGGGUAGACUUAAGAUUUGUAACCUGUUUUUCUCCGUCUAGCUCGUAAAUACAAAAAGAUAAGUCCUGGGGGCAGCAAUGACCACAGUACACAUCAGCCACUUUACAUACAGUAAAAACCAAAGAAAAAGUUACCUGCACUCUCUCUUG